This 422-nucleotide ribosomal RNA is filed under the name uncultured bacterium. RNAcentral's name for it is "bacterial SSU rRNA". It matches the Rfam family "Bacterial small subunit ribosomal RNA", at positions 362 to 776 of the family's 1533-position model. The record is from RNAcentral.
UUUUGGACAAUGGGCGAAAGCCUGAUCCAGCCAUUCCGCGUGCAGGACGAAGGCCUUCGGGUUGUAAACUGCUUUUGUACGGAACGAAAAAGCUCUCUCUAAUACAGAGGGUCCAUGACGGUACCGUAAGAAUAAGCACCGGCUAACUACGUGCCAGCAGCCGCGGUAAUACGUAGGGUGCAAGCGUUAAUCGGAAUUACUGGGCGUAAAGCGUGCGCAGGCGGUUUUGUAAGACAGAGGUGAAAUCCCCGGGCUCAACCUGGGAACUGCCUUUGUGACUGCAAGGCUGGAGUGCGGCAGAGGGGGAUGGAAUUCCGCGUGUAGCAGUGAAAUGCGUAGAUAUGCGGAGGAACACCGAUGGCGAAGGCAAUCCCCUGGGCCUGCACUGACGCUCAUGCACGAAAGCGUGGGGAGCAAACAGG